This 450-nucleotide ribosomal RNA is filed under the name Triticum aestivum (bread wheat). RNAcentral's name for it is "partial small subunit ribosomal RNA". Lineage: Eukaryota; Viridiplantae; Streptophyta; Magnoliopsida; Poales; Poaceae. The record is from RNAcentral.
AUGUCGGUCAAUACCUCUAAUUCAAUUUUGCAUUUUUCGAAUGAUGAGAUUGUUCAUAAUGCAAACCAACUAGGGAUUUCACUAGGUAAUAAUGAGGGUGAAAUUUCUAACUCCAUCAAUGAUUUGCUAGAUCUAGAAGCCGAGAGGGCUUUAGAUAUGGUUCGAAACUUAGUUGCCGUCAAACCCAUGAAUGAUUCCGAGAUUGAUGCCUUGGGAGUUCAGGUGCUUGAUAAUUUUUGCGCCGAUCUCGCACCUCCCCUCCCGGAGACGGAGGAGGAGGAUGAGAGUGUAGAGAUGGAUGUUGUUGGUCCCCCUGAAACGGGGAGUGAGGACCGGGUGGAUGAGAGGACCGGCCCUAAGCGCAAAUGGAAGCGCAAGAUUUACCCAACGUCUGCUGUGCGUAGGAGUGCUAGGAUCCGCACCGCUAAAAAAUUUCACGACGAGAUAUGA